GUAUGUCAAGUUGACAGUCAAGAUUAACCACCAUACCUUCCUAGAAACAUUCACUUUCUUUUGAGGUGAAGCUGCUUCUUGUUGAUCGGAUCUGGCCAGCUGUAUUACCCUGCGCAGGUCUCCAUCACAAUAUACCACACUCUGUCAGUUUCAUGGAGACAACAAAGCAGCAGGAGCCACUUGUGGCUGUGACAUCAGGAACUUGAAACUGUGAGCUCUCAUCUCCAGGCCAGGAAGCCCCACAGAGACCCACUUCCUCCAGCAAGAUCUGAUCCCUCAAGGUUCCACAGCCUCCCUGAAACAGCAGCACCACCUGAAGAGUGGGUGUUUAGACCUGGGAGUCACAUUAUAAUAGUCACAGGGACUGCACUGAGACAGGAGUGUCAUUAAUGCCAAACAACCUCAUCAUUUAGAAGGUCAGCACAAAAUCAGGUUGUCCCAGCUACAAGAGGAGGACAAGAAAAUAAAGAUCACCUAGUUCCUGACAAAGGAAGCAGUCACCCUUCCAGGCACCUCUUGAGAACCUUGUCACAUCCUUUACCAUUUAACAGCAGGAUAUUAUCCAAAGAUGCUACCCUCCUGCUCAGAUGACCUCAAGUACCCUGACUGAGAGUCACCCUGCUUGGAAUCCCUCUCCAUAGAAGGAAGCAGAAGCCAGAAGAGGACAUCAGAUGCCCUGGAACUGGAGCCACCCUGUGGUGCUACGAGCCAAACCUGGGUCCUCUCCAAAGGUA
This 734-nucleotide long non-coding RNA is filed under the name Cricetulus griseus (Chinese hamster). RNAcentral describes it as "lncRNA (ENSCGRG00015037879.1)". The record is from RNAcentral. Lineage: Eukaryota; Metazoa; Chordata; Mammalia; Rodentia; Cricetidae.